Schizosaccharomyces pombe (fission yeast) is the source of this 342-nucleotide non-coding RNA. Lineage: Eukaryota; Fungi; Ascomycota; Schizosaccharomycetes; Schizosaccharomycetales; Schizosaccharomycetaceae. The record is from the annotation of a GenBank genome assembly.
AAUAAAGUAGCAACCUCAUCACAGAAAGCGCGACGCUGAUUUUCAUACUCUAAAACCGAACCCAAAGCAAACUGAGGAGAUAUGAUGAGACGAGAUGGAAUGUUUUGUUUCGUAGCUGAUGAAGCGGGAUCGUUAACAAUGUUAAGACGAGACUUAAAGACUCUAUGAAGAAGUUUAUGAUAAGCUUCCUCAAUAGACGGAGGUGUAGGAACAAACACUUGAGAAACACCAUCGGUAAAAUCGCAAACGAGAGAUGGCUUUAAAGCGCCUGAAAGAUUAUCACGAACAGCUUUAAUAAUCUCUGUGGCUUGCUCUGAAGAACUCAAUCCGUAUCUUACGGCA